CAAACGGGUGCGGAACACGUACACAACCUUCCUUUAAGUGGGGGAUAGCCCAGAGAAAUUUGGAUUAAUACCCCGUAAGAUUAAUGAGUGGCAUCAUUUAUUAAUUAAAGUUCAGGCGCUUAGAGAUGGGUGUGCGGCUGAUUAGGUAGUUGGUGAGGGUAACGGCCCACCAAGCCUUCGAUCAGUAACUGGUGUGAGAGCACGACCAGUCACACGGGCACUGAGACACGGGCCCG
This 236-nucleotide ribosomal RNA is filed under the name uncultured bacterium. RNAcentral's name for it is "partial 16S ribosomal RNA". It matches the Rfam family "Bacterial small subunit ribosomal RNA", at positions 99 to 334 of the family's 1533-position model. The record is from RNAcentral.